AUACGGAGGGUGCAAGCGUUAUCCGGAUUUAUUGGGUUUAAAGGGUCCGUAGGCGGAUCUGUAAGUCAGUGGUGAAAUCUCAUAGCUUAACUAUGAAACUGCCAUUGAUACUGCAGGUCUUGAGUAAGGUAGAAGUAGCUGGAAUAAGUAGUGUAGCGGUUAAAUGCAUAGAUAUUACUUAGAACACCAAUUGCGAAGGCAGGUUACUAUGUCUUAACUGACGCUGAUGGACGAAAGCGUGGGGAGCGAACAGAAUUAGAAACCCCAGUAGUCC
This 274-nucleotide ribosomal RNA is filed under the name uncultured bacterium. RNAcentral's name for it is "partial 16S ribosomal RNA". It matches the Rfam family "Bacterial small subunit ribosomal RNA", at positions 523 to 796 of the family's 1533-position model. The record is from RNAcentral.